UACGGGGGGGGCAAGCGUUGUUCGGAAUUACUGGGCGUAAAGGGCUUGUAGGUGGCCAACUAAGUCAGACGUGAAAUCCCUCAGCUUAACUGGGGAACUGCGUCUGAUACUGGAUGGCUUGGAUUCGGGAGAGGAAUGCGGAAUUCCAGGUGUAGCGGUGAAAUGCGUAGAUAUCUGGAGGAACACCGGUGGCGAAGGCGGCAUCCUGGACCGAAACUGACGCUGAGGAGCGAAAGCCAGGGGAGCAAACGGG
Molecule: ribosomal RNA, 253 nt
Filed under: uncultured bacterium
Lineage: Bacteria
Description: partial 16S ribosomal RNA
Rfam family: Bacterial small subunit ribosomal RNA
Source: RNAcentral